RNAcentral lists this small nuclear RNA (104 nucleotides) under Vicugna pacos (alpaca). Lineage: Eukaryota; Metazoa; Chordata; Mammalia; Artiodactyla; Camelidae. The record is from RNAcentral.
AUGCUCUUUUAGGCAGCACAUAUACUAAAUUAUAAACGAUGCAGAGAUUAUCAUGGCCCCUGUGUAAGGAUGACACGCUAAUUCAUGAAGCAUUCCAUAUUAAA